Molecule: unclassified non-coding RNA, 315 nt
Filed under: plant metagenome
Description: partial contains 5.8S ribosomal RNA, internal transcribed spacer 2, and large subunit ribosomal RNA
Rfam family: 5.8S ribosomal RNA (bases 1-104)
Source: RNAcentral
AACUGCGAUAAGUAGUGUGAAUUGCAGAAUUCAGUGAAUCAUCGAGUCUUUGAACGCACGUUGCGCCCCCUGGUAUUCCGGGGGGCAUGCCUGUCCGAGCGUCAUUGCUGCCCUUCAAGCCCGGCUUGUGUGUUGGGUCGUCGUCCCCCCGUGGGACGGGCCCGAAAGGCAGCGGCGGCACCGUGUCCGGUCCUCGAGCUUAUGGGGCUUCGUCACCCGCUCGAUCAGGGCCGGCCGGGCGCCUGCCGGCGUUCUACCAACCUUAUUUCUCCAGGUUGACCUCGGAUCAGGUAGGGAUACCCGCUGAACUUAAGC